RNAcentral lists this long non-coding RNA (783 nucleotides) under Medicago truncatula (barrel medic). RNAcentral describes it as "long non-coding RNA (MTRU_LNC002080)". The record is from RNAcentral. Lineage: Eukaryota; Viridiplantae; Streptophyta; Magnoliopsida; Fabales; Fabaceae.
CCAGCAAAUAUAAGCCUUUGCUGAUCGGGAGGAAUACCUUCCUUGUCUUGAAUCUUAGCUUUAACGUUGUCUAUGGUAUCAGAACUCUCCACCUCGAGGGUGAUAGUUUUGCCAGUCAAUGUUUUCACAAAGAUUUGCAUCUGUUCAAAUCAAUCAUAUCAUAAACAGUACGCAAUAAAUCAUAUUUCAAACCCUACUCAACUAAAAUAGGGACAAAUCGAUACAAUAGAAAAUAUGAAACUAAGCAACUAAUUUGACGAAAAACAUCACAAAACCUAUGGCAGGCCACAAAUCCGAAACGCAAACCCUAAUUGAUUGAAAUAGGGGCAAAUUGGUACACAGAAUAUAGAAAAUUUAACAAUUUAUUGGGGAAAAGCUUCCUAUCUAUAGCAAAUCACGAAUCAGAGAAAAUUGAAUUGAUCCAUAAAUCAAAACCACAUUGAAAAUUGUUCAAAAAUUCACAAUAAUGAAACCCGCGUGUACACAGAACAUAGAAAAAUUUACAAUUUAUUGGGGAACAGCUUUCUAUCUUCUAUAACAAAUCACGAAUCAGUGAAAAUUUAAUCGAUCUAGCACAGUGAAAAUUAUUCAAAAAUUCACAAUAAUGAAACCCUCAUGUAAUAAUAGAAUCGAAUUGAUCUAUGAAUCAAAACCACACAAAUUGAAACCCGAAUACUAAUAAAACCGAAAAAAUAUUGUGAAUGGAUGAGGAAGAGAUAGAUAGAUACCUUGAAUGAAUCGUAGAAUUGUCGAAGAAGAAAGAAAAGAGCGUUUGGAAAUUUU